RNAcentral lists this ribosomal RNA (460 nucleotides) under uncultured bacterium. RNAcentral describes it as "partial 16S ribosomal RNA". It matches the Rfam family "Bacterial small subunit ribosomal RNA", at positions 338 to 795 of the family's 1533-position model. The record is from RNAcentral.
CCUACGGGAGGCAGCAGUGAGGAAUAUUGGUCAAUGGACGAGAGUCUGAACCAGCCAAGUAGCGUGAAGGAUGACUGCCCUAUGGGUUGUAAACUUCUUUUAUAUGGGAAUAAAAUGUUCCACGUGUGGGAUUUUGUAUGUACCAUAUGAAUAAGGAUCGGCUAACUCCGUGCCAGCAGCCGCGGUAAUACGGAGGAUCCGAGCGUUAUCCGGAUUUAUUGGGGUUAAAGGGAGCGUAGGUGGAUUGUUAAGUCAGUUGUGAAAGUUUGCGGCUCAACCGUAAAAUUGCAGUUGAAACUGGCAGUCUUGAGUACAGUAGAGGUGGGCGGAAUUCGUGGUGUAGCGGUGAAAUGCUUAGAUAUCACGAAGAACUCCGAUUGCGAAGGCAGUUCACUGGACUGCAACUGACACUGAGGCUCGAAGGUGUGGGUAUCAAACAGGAUUAGAUACCCGAGUAGUC